RNAcentral lists this ribosomal RNA (213 nucleotides) under Triticum aestivum (bread wheat). RNAcentral describes it as "partial small subunit ribosomal RNA". Lineage: Eukaryota; Viridiplantae; Streptophyta; Magnoliopsida; Poales; Poaceae. The record is from RNAcentral.
AUGAAUCUUCUAUGCUGGAAUUGUCGAGGUAUUGGCAACGCCCCAACAAUUCAAGAGCUUCGAGAACUCGCGAUUAAGUUUGCCCCGAAGGUGCUUUGCAUUGUAGAGACUUAGAUUAGUAGAGCUCGAGCUGAAAAAAUAACAGGCACUAUAGGUUAUGAUAAUUCUUUUGGUGUUGAUCCCACUGGUCGUAGUGGUGGACUAUGUAUUUUU